CCUACGGGCGGCAGCAGUGAGGAAUAUUGGGCAAUGGCCGGAAGGCUGAACCAGCCAUGCCGCGUGAAGGUCAGUGCCCUAUGGGCGUUAAACUUCUUUUGUGCGGGAGCAAUAAUGGUCACGUGUGGCCAGACGAGAGUACCGUACGAAUAAGCAUCGGCUAACUCCGUGCCAGCAGCCGCGGUAAUACGGGGGAUGCAAGCGUUAUCCGGAUUUAUUGGGUUUGAAGGGUGCGUAGGCUGUGAGGUAAGUCAGCGGUGAAAUGCCCCCGCUCAACGGGGUGAAGUGCCAUUGAUACUGCCUGGCUGGAAUGCGGAUGCCGUGGGAGGAAUGUGUGGUGUAGCGGUGAAAUGCAUAGAUAUCACACAGAACACCGAUUGCGAAGGCAUCUCACGAAUCCGCGAUUGACGCUGAUGCACGAAAGCGUGGGUAUCAAACAGGAUUAGAUACCCGGGUAGUC
RNAcentral lists this ribosomal RNA (460 nucleotides) under uncultured bacterium. RNAcentral's name for it is "partial 16S ribosomal RNA". It matches the Rfam family "Bacterial small subunit ribosomal RNA", at positions 338 to 795 of the family's 1533-position model. The record is from RNAcentral.